Molecule: ribosomal RNA, 492 nt
Filed under: uncultured bacterium
Lineage: Bacteria
Description: partial 16S ribosomal RNA
Rfam family: Bacterial small subunit ribosomal RNA
Source: RNAcentral
AGUGAACGCUGGCGGUAGGCCUAACACAUGCAAGUCGAACGGCAGCACAGUAAGAGCUUGCUCUUACGGGUGGCGAGUGGCGGACGGGUGAGGAAUACAUCGGAAUCUACUUUUUCGUGGGGGAUAACGUAGGGAAACUUACGCUAAUACCGCAUACGACCUACGGGUGAAAGCAGGGGAUCUUCGGACCUUGCGCGAUUGAAUGAGCCGAUGUCGGAUUAGCUAGUUGGCGGGGUAAAGGCCCACCAAGGCGACGAUCCGUAGCUGGUCUGAGAGGAUGAUCAGCCACACUGGAACUGAGACACGGUCCAGACUCCUACGGGAGGCAGCAGUGGGGAGUAUUGGACAAUGGGCGCAAGCCUGAUCCAGCCAUACCGCGUGGGUGAAGAAGGCCUUCGGGUUGUAAAGCCCUUUUGUUGGGAAAGAAAAGCAGCAGGUUAAUACCCCGCUGUUCUGACGGUACCCAAAGAAUAAGCACCGGCUAACUUCGCG